UACGUAGGGUGCGAGCGUUAAUCGGAAUUACUGGGCGUAAAGCGCACGUAGGCGGCUUUGUAAGUUAGAGGUGAAAGCCCGGGGCUCAACCCCGGAAUUGCCUUUAAGACUGCAUCGCUUGAAUCCGGGAGAGGUGAGUGGAAUUCCGAGUGUAGAGGUGAAAUUCGUAGAUAUUCGGAAGAACACCAGUGGCGAAGGCGGCUCACUGGACCGGCAUUGACGCUGAGGUGCGAAAGCGUGGGGAGCAAACAGG
RNAcentral lists this ribosomal RNA (253 nucleotides) under uncultured bacterium. Its description in RNAcentral is "partial 16S ribosomal RNA". It matches the Rfam family "Bacterial small subunit ribosomal RNA", at positions 524 to 776 of the family's 1533-position model. The record is from RNAcentral.